Molecule: ribosomal RNA, 277 nt
Filed under: uncultured bacterium
Lineage: Bacteria
Description: partial 16S ribosomal RNA
Rfam family: Bacterial small subunit ribosomal RNA
Source: RNAcentral
GAUUAACGCUGGCGGCGUGCCUAACACAUGCAAGUCGAACGAGGUAGCAAUACCUAGUGGCAGACGGGUGAGUAACACGUGGUCAACCUUCCCUACAGUGGGGGAUAACUAGCCGAAAGGUUAGCUAAUACCGCAUAACAUCUACGAGCGGCAUCGCAUGUAGAUCAAAGGAGCAAUCCGCUGAAGGACGGGACCGCGUCCCAUUAGUUAGUUGGUGGGGUAAUGGCCUACCAAGACUCCGAUGGGUAGCUGGUUUGAGAGAGCGACCAGCCACACU